AAAUAAUGGCAAUGCAACUAUUGAUGCGGUGGUCUUAGAUCACGGCGAUGAUGAUGAGACAUCAAGUGAUGACGGCAAGAGGAGCCCUACAACAAACUCAGUUAUCUACUCCAAGCCAAAAAGAUGAAAUGGACAAGCAAAAGAAAAGAAUAAUAAGAAGAAGAAUAAGAAGAAGAAGAAGAAGAAGAAGAAGAAGAAGAAGAAGAAGAAAAAGAAAAAGAAGGGAGGAUAUGAUGACAUAAAUAAUUCUAUGGAGGAUAUUGUGAAGGCAACAAA
This 276-nucleotide long non-coding RNA is filed under the name Hordeum vulgare. RNAcentral's name for it is "long non-coding RNA (HVUL_LNC001804)". Lineage: Eukaryota; Viridiplantae; Streptophyta; Magnoliopsida; Poales; Poaceae. The record is from RNAcentral.